Transfer RNA from Pochonia chlamydosporia 170, 117 nucleotides. It matches the Rfam family "tRNA". From Rfam's summary of the family: Transfer RNA (tRNA) molecules are approximately 80 nucleotides in length. Their secondary structure includes four short double-helical elements and three loops (D, anti-codon, and T loops). NCBI's taxonomy places the organism in Eukaryota, Fungi, Ascomycota, Sordariomycetes, Hypocreales, Clavicipitaceae. The record is from Rfam.
GGCAGAAUGGCCGAGUGGUCUAUGGCGACGGUCUCAAGCACAGCAUAUGCGCUUUCGUCUGCGAAAAGCAGCGUUCCGUUCACGAAAGUGGCCGGGGUUCGAAUCCCCGUUCUGUCA